RNAcentral lists this ribosomal RNA (1255 nucleotides) under uncultured Acinetobacter sp. Its description in RNAcentral is "bacterial SSU rRNA". It matches the Rfam family "Bacterial small subunit ribosomal RNA", at positions 78 to 1328 of the family's 1533-position model. Lineage: Bacteria; Pseudomonadati; Pseudomonadota; Gammaproteobacteria; Moraxellales; Moraxellaceae. The record is from RNAcentral.
GCUUGCUACCUGACCUAGCGGCGGACGGGUGAGUAAUGCUUAGGAAUCUGCCUAUUAGUGGGGGACAACAUUCCGAAAGGAAUGCUAAUACCGCAUACGCCCUACGGGGGAAAGCAGGGGAUCUUCGGACCUUGCGCUAAUAGAUGAGCCUAAGUCAGAUUAGCUAGUUGGUGGGGUAAAGGCCUACCAAGGCGACGAUCUGUAGCGGGUCUGAGAGGAUGAUCCGCCACACUGGGACUGAGACACGGCCCAGACUCCUACGGGAGGCAGCAGUGGGGAAUAUUGGACAAUGGGCGAAAGCCUGAUCCAGCCAUGCCGCGUGUGUGAAGAAGGCCUUUUGGUUGUAAAGCACUUUAAGCGAGGAGGAGGCUACUUGGAUUAAUACUCUAGGAUAGUGGACGUUACUCGCAGAAUAAGCACCGGCUAACUCUGUGCCAGCAGCCGCGGUAAUACAGAGGGUGCGAGCGUUAAUCGGAUUUACUGGGCGUAAAGCGUGCGUAGGCGGCUUUUUAAGUCGGAUGUGAAAUCCCUGAGCUUAACUUAGGAAUUGCAUUCGAUACUGGGAAGCUAGAGUAUGGGAGAGGAUGGUAGAAUUCCAGGUGUAGCGGUGAAAUGCGUAGAGAUCUGGAGGAAUACCGAUGGCGAAGGCAGCCAUCUGGCCUAAUACUGACGCUGAGGUACGAAAGCAUGGGGAGCAAACAGGAUUAGAUACCCUGGUAGUCCAUGCCGUAAACGAUGUCUACUAGCCGUUGGGGCCUUUGAGGCUUUAGUGGCGCAGCUAACGCGAUAAGUAGACCGCCUGGGGAGUACGGUCGCAAGACUAAAACUCAAAUGAAUUGACGGGGGCCCGCACAAGCGGUGGAGCAUGUGGUUUAAUUCGAUGCAACGCGAAGAACCUUACCUGGUCUUGACAUAGUAAGAACUUUCCAGAGAUGGAUUGGUGCCUUCGGGAACUUACAUACAAGUGCUGCAUGGCUGUCGUCAGCUCGUGUCGUGAGAUGUUGGGUUAAGUCCCGCAACGAGCGCAACCCUUUUCCUUAUUUGCCAGCGGGUUAAGCCGGGAACUUUAAGGAUACUGCCAGUGACAAACUGGAGGAAGGCGGGGACGACGUCAAGUCAUCAUGGCCCUUACGACCAGGGCUACACACGUGCUACAAUGGUCGGUACAAAGGGUUGCUACCUAGCGAUAGGAUGCUAAUCUCAAAAAGCCGAUCGUAGUCCGGAUUGGAGUCUGCAACUCGACUCCAUGAAGUCG